GUUACUUUGGCAGAAUAGUGCAAUUGAUUUAGAAUCUUUAUAUGUAUUUAAUACAAGUAAUA
RNAcentral lists this transfer RNA (62 nucleotides) under Pygoluciola qingyu. Its description in RNAcentral is "tRNA-Leu". The record is from RNAcentral. RNAcentral also lists the same sequence under 3 other names. Lineage: Eukaryota; Metazoa; Arthropoda; Insecta; Coleoptera; Lampyridae.